RNAcentral lists this ribosomal RNA (379 nucleotides) under uncultured eukaryote. RNAcentral describes it as "partial 18S ribosomal RNA". It matches the Rfam family "Eukaryotic small subunit ribosomal RNA", at positions 592 to 975 of the family's 1831-position model. The record is from RNAcentral.
CAAUAGCGUAUAUUAAAGUUGUUGCAGUUAGAACGCUCGUAGUCGGAUUUCGGGGCGGGCCGACCGGUCUGCCGAUGGGUAUGCACUGGCCGGCGCGUCCUUCCUUCCGGAGACCGUCCCUACUCUUAACUGAGCGGGGGCGGGAGACGGGACUUUUACUUUGAAAAAAUCAGAGUGUUUCAAGCAGGCAGCUCGCUCUUGCAUGGAUUAGCAUGGGAUAAUGAAAUAGGACUUUGGUGCUAUUUUGUUGGUUUCGAACACCGAAGUAAUGAUGAGAAGGGACAGUCAGGGGCACUCGUAUUUUGCCGAGAGAGGUGAAAUUCUCAGACCAGCGAAAGACGAACCACUGCGAAAGCAUUUGCCAGGGAUGUUUUCACUG